Non-coding RNA from Carica papaya (papaya), 1574 nucleotides. The record is from RefSeq and is a predicted model, not a curated record. Lineage: Eukaryota; Viridiplantae; Streptophyta; Magnoliopsida; Brassicales; Caricaceae.
UCUCCUAAGGACGAUUAGAGAGGCAAAGAAGGAGAAUGGCGAAGACUUACAAGAGACUCAAAGGAAGCCGGAACAUGAGGCAGAGGCUCUUAUUGGCUACGCUUUCCUCAACUUCCAUUCUCAUUGAAGACAUCCGCGCCGACGACACUUUCCCCGGACUUCAGCCUCACGAAAUCUCCCUUCUCCGCCUGCUCGAGAAAGUCUCCGAUGAUUGCACCAUCGAAAUAAACGAAACGGGGACGAAAUUGAAGUAUGAGCCUGGGAUCUUGAUGGGAGGGAAGAAUCUGGUGCACGACUGUGGUGUUAGUCGAUCCAUUGGUUAUUUCUUGGAGCCUCUGCUUGUGCUUGGGUUGUUUGGCAAAAAACCUCUUUCCAUCAGGCUUAAAGGCAUUACAAACGAUUCAAAGGAUCCAUGUGUUGAUACAUUUCGUUCUACUACCCUACCACUCUUGAAGCGUUUCGGGGUUCCUUCAGAAGGAUUAGAGUUGAAGAUAGUGAGUCGUGGAGCUCCACCUCGAGGUGGUGGGGAAGUUUUCUUCUCGGUUCCUGUUGUUCAAUGUUUAACGGCAGUUACUUGGAUAGAUGAGGGAAUGGUUAAGAGGAUUAGAGGGGUUACUUUUUCUGCAAAAGUGUCUUCUGACUUUGAACAUUCUAUGAGAUAUGCUGCUCGUGGAAUCUUUAAUAACUUGCUUCCUGAUGUUCAUCUCUUUAGUGAUCAUAAAGCUGGUCCACAAGCUGGAAACUCACCUGGUUAUGGAAUUUCAGUUGUCGCGGAAACUACUUCUGGUUGCUUCAUCUCUGCUGAUACUGCAGUCUGUUAUGACCAGGGAGAAGAAACUGGUGAAAUGGAAGAUGUGGAAAGGAAGGAGGUGAUCCCUCCGGAGGAUACUGGCGUGCAAAUUGCUUCUUUUCUUCUGGAAGAGAUUGCCCAGGGUGGAGUGGUAGAUUCGACGCACCAGGGUUUGUUGUUUCUUCUUUGUGCAUUAUGCCCGCAGGAUAUCUCGAAGGUUCGUGUUGGGAAGCUCUCACCUUACGGAAUAGAAACACUCAGAAACAUUGGAGAUUUCUUGGGUGUUAAAUUUGUAAUAAAGCCAGAUCCUUCAACUGAGACAGUUAUUCUUAAAUGUGUUGGAUGCGGGUUGAAGAACCUAUCCAGAAAGGUCUCGUGAUUACUAGGGCUAUGUAACUGUACGCAUUGAUGGCUCCAGUUUUGCAGAGGCGUGUAGCCUUGUCAAGGGGCCUUGAUGAGGAUAUCUCAGCCAGAGAUGAGCCAGUGGCUUCCAGUUGUGUGCUCGUGUUAAGACUGAACCAAACAAGGGGCAGGGAUCUUAUUGUAUACUGAUGGUGUUUCAUCUGGUGCUGUCAAGGAAGAGAUUUGGGCAUGGGAUGAGGUUUGUAAUAAAAGAGAAUUUGUAAACUUGAUUUCUUUAACUAUAUUUUGAGUUUUAUGAAGGGAAAGAAAUAGUAGGCUUUCGGGUUGUAGAAUUAGAGAUAAAUAGUUUUAUUAUUUUGGAUCAUGACAUUAUUGGGGAUGAAGAUUUUGAGAAUGUCAUUGAUACAUUAACACUAAACAA